This 604-nucleotide ribosomal RNA is filed under the name uncultured bacterium. Its description in RNAcentral is "bacterial SSU rRNA". The stretch from base 1 to 531 matches the Rfam family "Bacterial small subunit ribosomal RNA", at positions 338 to 873 of the family's 1533-position model. The record is from RNAcentral.
CCUACGGGAGGCAGCAGUAAGGAAUAUUGGUCAAUGGACGAAAGUCUGAACCAGCCAUGCCGCGUGAAGGAUGAAGGCCCUCUGGGUUGUAAACUUCUUUUAUCUGGGACGAAAAAAGGGCUUUCUAGCUCACUUGACGGUACCAGAGGAAUAAGCACCGGCUAACUCCGUGCCAGCAGCCGCGGUAAUACGGAGGGUGCAAGCGUUAUCCGGAUUCACUGGGUUUAAAGGGUGCGUAGGUGGGUCUGUAAGUCAGUGGUGAAAUCUCCGAGCUUAACUCGGAAACUGCCAUUGAUACUAUAGGUCUUGAAUCAUCUGGAGGUAAGCGGAAUAUGUCAUGUAGCGGUGAAAUGCUUAGAUAUGACAUAGAACACCAAUUGCGAAGGCAGCUUACUACGGGUGCAUUGACACUGAGGCACGAAAGCGUGGGGAUCAAACAGGAUUAGAUACCCUGGUAGUCCACGCCCUAAACGAUGGAUACUCGACAUCAGCGAUACACUGUUGGUGUCUGNGNGAAGANAUAUAUCCACCNGGAGACGACGCGAGUAGAACGUACAAGAGUAGUAGACGNGAGAGAGCGACGACGACGACGAGGAGGGAGGNG